Molecule: non-coding RNA, 732 nt
Organism: Chrysemys picta bellii (western painted turtle)
Lineage: Eukaryota; Metazoa; Chordata; Testudines; Emydidae
Source: RefSeq, a predicted model, not a curated record
CCUUUCUCCAACAUUCCCCAACCUGCAUCCCUAUCCCUACCCUGCACCCCAGUUCCACCCUCCACCCAUGGGGCCCCUCAGCCCUUAUCUCUUCUUCCUCCCCAACACGAAUCCCUCGUAGGACAUGGUCAGGCGUCCAAGUUUGCAGAGGAAUCGUCCAGGAGCCCUAGCCUGACAAGAAUAUGGCAGAAGUGGACCUGAGCGGCCUGGACAUCCUUCUAAGGAGACAUGAAUAGUCCUCAUGUUUCUGCCUUCUGCAUCGCUGGCUGAGAGUAAGAUACCAAGGAAAACAAAGUCACACAUCAGUCUACUGCCCUCAUGCGAUGGAAAGGGAGCCCGAGAGUCGAGACUCUGAGCAUUGUUGAUGCCACUCAAAAGCCGUCCAUCUGGGAGCUGAGGAGACGCCGCUGUCAGUGAGAUAAGUGUCUGGUUUGGUGAGGGCUCUGCUCACGCCCAACCUGAGUCCAGGUUGGGAAGCCCACUAAGUUGGGGCUGGGUUUGUAUGAAAAGGUUCCUGACUAACUGUGGUUACGAGGGGGAAAAGGUCCCUAUUUUCAGAGGUUGCUCAUUUCUCUGGUCAGGAAUGGUGCCUCCUCUGCAGCGGAAGGUUGGAUUCAGAAGGAUGACUCCAGGUGGUCAGUUGCUUGCUUUCCUCCCAUUUUUUUUUUCUCUCUCUUUCUCUCUUCUCUAGUAUGUUGGCCAACACACACCCUCUAGCUCUCGCUGUCUGUC